RNAcentral lists this ribosomal RNA (497 nucleotides) under uncultured bacterium. RNAcentral's name for it is "partial 16S ribosomal RNA". It matches the Rfam family "Bacterial small subunit ribosomal RNA", at positions 28 to 507 of the family's 1533-position model. The record is from RNAcentral.
GAUGAACGCUGGCGGCGUGCCUAAUACAUGCCAGUCGAGCGAACGGACGAGAAGCUUGCUUCUCUGAUGUUAGCGGCGGACGGGUGAGUAACACGUGGAUAACCUACCUAUAAGACUGGGAUAACUUCGGGAAACCGGAGCUAAUACCGGAUAAUAUUUUGAACCGCAUGGUUCAAAAGUGAAAGACGGUCUUGCUGUCACUUAUAGAUGGAUCCGCGCUGCAUUAGCUAGUUGGUAAGGUAACGGCUUACCAAGGCAACGAUGCAUAGCCGACCUGAGAGGGUGAUCGGCCACACUGGAACUGAGACACGGUCCAGACUCCUACGGGAGGCAGCAGUAGGGAACCUUCCGCAAUGGGCGAAAGCCUGACGGAGCAACGCCGCGUGAGUGAUGAAGGUCUUCGGAUCGUAAAACUCUGUUAUUAGGGAAGAACAUAUGUGUAAGUAACUGUGCACAUCUUGACGGUACCUAAUCAGAAAGCCACGGCUAACUACGUG